This 72-nucleotide transfer RNA is filed under the name Bacteroidetes bacterium QS_8_68_28. RNAcentral describes it as "tRNA-Gly". It matches the Rfam family "tRNA". Rfam says of the family: Transfer RNA (tRNA) molecules are approximately 80 nucleotides in length. Their secondary structure includes four short double-helical elements and three loops (D, anti-codon, and T loops). Lineage: Bacteria; Pseudomonadati; Bacteroidota. The record is from RNAcentral.
GCGGGGAUAGCUCAGCGGUAGAGCGUCACCUUCCCAAGGUGAGGGCCGCGGGUUCGAAUCCCGUUCCCCGCU